GAUCGCGGCGACGUUGGCGGUCCGCUGCCGACGACGUCGCGAGAAGUCCACUGAACCUUAUCAUUUAGAGGAAGGAGAAGUCGUAACAAGGUUUCCGUAGGUGAACCUGCGGAAGGAUCAUUGCUGUU
Molecule: ribosomal RNA, 128 nt
Filed under: Tessmannia anomala
Lineage: Eukaryota; Viridiplantae; Streptophyta; Magnoliopsida; Fabales; Fabaceae
Description: partial 18S ribosomal RNA
Rfam family: Eukaryotic small subunit ribosomal RNA
Source: RNAcentral